This 745-nucleotide long non-coding RNA is filed under the name Nicotiana tabacum (common tobacco). RNAcentral's name for it is "long non-coding RNA (NTAB_LNC015016)". Lineage: Eukaryota; Viridiplantae; Streptophyta; Magnoliopsida; Solanales; Solanaceae. The record is from RNAcentral.
UGACCCCCCAUUUUUCCCUAUUUUCUUUUCUUCUUCCUCUCUCCUCAAUCUCUCAUCACUCUCUCGUCUCUCUAUCUCGCCGGCCGGAAAUCGUCACCACCGGCGGAUGUCGUCCAAAGACCAUAAAAUUUACACCAUUCUUCUCCCCUCACUCUCCUCUUUUUGAUUCCAAACCUCAAAACUUUCAACCCCCCCCCCCCCCCAAAUCCGUAGAUCUAAUUGGCCGAAACCUUAGCCGCCGACGGACCACUUUCAAUCCACCCCAAAUUCACACCAUGACCUCCCCUCACUUCCCCAUUUCCAAAUCCAUGAACCAAAUCCCUUGAAUCCCUCCCAAACUCCACGAAUAAACCAAAAUCCGAAACCCUAGCCCACUUUAUUUUGUAAAUUCGUCGAGUUUUAGACCUCUCAUUCAUAAAAUACUUGCAUAGGCAUGUAGAGCUCCACAUGAUCUAUCAUCCUAUGUUGGUUUCACCCAAAAACUCCGACAGAAGUUCGGCCGGAUUCUGGCAACCACCGCCACUGCUGGCAACCACCACACCCCAAUGCCCCUAUUGUUUUAGCCUAUUCCGACCCAAAUACGUUCGCUUCUCUCUAGCACGAUGUUGGAACUCAUUGGAUUCAAAGUGUGGUAGAAAGAAACGCUCGUUUCAAGGUCGAUUUCCUCGUGUGGUAAAACCUUUAUCCAUUUCCCUCUUUUCUGAUUUUUUGUUCUGUUUAUUAAAACUAGGAUCAUAUUUUAGUU